UACGUAGGUGGCAAGCGUUGUCCGGAUUUACUGGGUGUAAAGGGCGUGCAGCCGGGAAGACAAGUCAGAUGUGAAAUUCCGGGGCUCAACCCCGGACCUGCAUUUGAAACUGUUGGUCUUGAGUAUCGGAGAGGCAGGCGGAAUUCCUAGUGUAGCGGUGAAAUGCGUAGAUAUUAGGAGGAACACCAGUGGCGAAGGCGGCCUGCUGGACGACAACUGACGGUGAGGCGCGAAAGCGUGGGGAGCAAACAGG
This 253-nucleotide ribosomal RNA is filed under the name uncultured bacterium. RNAcentral's name for it is "partial 16S ribosomal RNA". It matches the Rfam family "Bacterial small subunit ribosomal RNA", at positions 524 to 776 of the family's 1533-position model. The record is from RNAcentral.